Molecule: ribosomal RNA, 382 nt
Filed under: uncultured eukaryote
Lineage: Eukaryota
Description: partial 18S ribosomal RNA
Rfam family: Eukaryotic small subunit ribosomal RNA
Source: RNAcentral
CAAUAGCGUAUAUUAAAGUUGUUGCAGUUAAAAAGCUCGUAGUCGGACUUCUGACGCAUGUGCCGCCGUCUGCCGCAAGGUGUGCACGGUGGCUGCAUCGCCAUCCUCCUGAGACGCCGUGCUGCCCUUAAUUGGGUGGCGCGUGCUGCUCAGGAUCUUUACUUUGAAAAAAUUAGAGUGUUCAAAGCAGGCCAAUGCGCUUGAAUACAUUAGCAUGGAAUAAUGGAAUAGGACUUUGGUUCUAUUUUGUUGGUUUCUAGGACCGAAGUAAUGAUUAAUAGGGACAGUUGGGGGCAUUCGUAUUUAGUUGUCAGAGGUGAAAUUCUUGGAUUUACGAAAGACGAACAUCUGCGAAAGCAUUUGCCAAGGAUGUUUUCAUUGA